AACUGCUGUCUAGUACAUACCUCAUUAAGGUGAAACCGCGAACGGCUCAUUAAAUCAGUUACGGUUCCUUAGAUAUUGAAAUCUACAUGGAUAACUGUGGUAAUUCUAGAGCUAAUACAUGCACAAAAGCCUCGACUUUCGGGAAGAGGCGCAUUUAUUAGACCAAGACCAAUGGGGCUUCGGCUCCUUUGUGAUGGUGACUCUGAAUAACUAAGCUAAUCGCAUGGCCUCCGUGCCGGCGAUGAAUCUUUCAAGUGUCUGCCUUAUCAACUGUCGACGGUAGGUUAUGCGCCUACCGUGGUUGCAACGGGUAACGGGGAAUGGGGCGGGGGCGGCGGGCCGGGCGCGGGGCGCGGGGCGGGCGA
Molecule: ribosomal RNA, 365 nt
Filed under: Alicorhagia environmental sample
Lineage: Eukaryota; Metazoa; Arthropoda; Arachnida; Sarcoptiformes; Alicorhagiidae
Description: bacterial SSU rRNA
Rfam family: Eukaryotic small subunit ribosomal RNA
Source: RNAcentral